Molecule: ribosomal RNA, 320 nt
Filed under: uncultured eukaryote
Lineage: Eukaryota
Description: partial 18S ribosomal RNA
Rfam family: Eukaryotic small subunit ribosomal RNA
Source: RNAcentral
CCCCUAGAUGUUCUGGGCCGCACGCGCGCUACACUGAACAGUUCAACAAGUCUUAACCUUGGCCGAUAGGUCUGGGUAAUCUUUGAACGCUGUUCGUGAUUGGGAUAGACCUUUGCAAUUAUGGGUCUUCAACGAGGAAUUCCUAGUAAACGCAAGUCAUCAGCUUGCAUUGAUUACGUCCCUGCCCUUUGUACACACCGCCCGUCGCACCUACCGAUUGAAUGGUCCGGUGAAAUCUCGGGACGGCGGCUUGGUCGCUUGCGUCCGACUGCUGAAACUUGAUUAAACCAUAUCAUUUAGAGGAAGGUGAANUCGUANCA